Molecule: long non-coding RNA, 1872 nt
Organism: Oncorhynchus keta (chum salmon)
Lineage: Eukaryota; Metazoa; Chordata; Actinopteri; Salmoniformes; Salmonidae
Exons: 4
Source: RefSeq, a predicted model, not a curated record
CACACACACACACACCCACCCUGUCAAGAGUAGUGCCAUCUGUAGCAGCACUAAUGACCUGGCUCCACUCUGCUGCCUUCACAAGGAGACUGGCUGUGAGUGUGUGAACUUAGGGUGAACUGGUGACUCUAGUCUGUCCUCUGGUUCCUGUCACCUAGCUGUUUGUUUGUUCUCUCUCCCCUCUAACUUUCACUGCUGUUCUCUAGGAACUUCCCUCUAGCCUUUAUCUGAACUCUUACAAGACUGGAGUGUCUCCUCUCUAACCUAUUAGCUAGCCUGGCUGCUACUAUCAUUUAUCCCUGUUCAGAGCUGGCUGUCAAACUAAAGGUUCAAAUCCAUUUUUAUUGGUCACACACACAUGGUAAGCAGAUGUUAAUGCGAGUGUAGCGAAAAGCUUGUGCUUCUAGAUCCGACCAUGCAGUAAUAUCUAACAAGUAAUCAAACAAUUGCACAACAACUACAUCAUACAAACAAGUGUAAAUUAAUGAGUAAGAAUAUGCACAUAAAAAUAUAUGGAUGAGCGAUGGCCAAACGGCAUAGGCAUGAUGCAGUAGAUGGUAUAGAGUACAGUAUAUACAUAUGAGAUGAUUAAUGUAGGGUAUGUAAACAUUAUGUAAAGUGGCAUUGUUUAAAGUGGCAAAUGAUACAUUUAUUACAUCCAAUUUUUCAUUAUUAAAGUGACUAGAGAUGAGUCAAUAUCUUGGCAGCAGCCACUCAAUGUUAGUGAUGGCUGUUUAACAGUCUGAUGGCCUUGAGAUAGAAGCUGUUUUUCAGUCUCUCGGUCCCAGCUUUGAUGCACCUGUACUGACCUCGCCUUCUGGAUGAUAGCGGGGUGAACAGGCAGUGGCUCGGGUGGUUGUUGUCCCUGAUGAUCUUUUUGGUUUCUCCCUGUUUAGAGCUGGCUGUUUAAACUAAAUGUUUCUCCCUGUUCAGAGCUGGCUGUUUAAACUAAAUGUUUCUCCCUGUUCAGAGCUGGCUGUUUAAACUAAAUGUUUCUCCCUGUUCAGAGCUGGCUGUUUAAACUAAAUGUUUCUCCCUGUUCAGAGCUGGCUGUUUAAACUAAAUGUUUCUCCCUGUUCAGAGCUGGCUGUUUAAACUAAAUGUUUCUCCCUGUUCAGAGCUGGCUGUUUAAACUAAAUGUUUCUCCCUGUUCAGAGCUGGCUGUUUAAACUAAAUGUUUCUCCCUGUUCAGAGCUGGCUGUUUAAACUAAAUGUUUCUCCCUGUUCAGAGCUGGCUGUUUAAACUAAAGGUUUCUCCCUGUUUAGAGCUGGCUGUUUAAACUAAAGGUUUCUCCCUGUUUAGAGCUGGCUGUUUAAACUAAAGGUUUCUCCCUGUUUAGAGCUGGCUGUUUAAACUAAAGGUUUCUCCCUGUUUAGAGCUGGCUGUUUAAACUAAACGUUUCUCCCUGUUUAGAGCUGGCUGUUUAAACUAAAGGUUUCUCCCUGUUUAGAGCUGGCUGUUUAAACUAAAGGUUUCUCCCUGUUUAGAGCUGGCUGUUUAAACUAAAGGUUUCUCCCUGUUUAGAGCUGGCUGUUUAAACUAAAGGUUUCUCCCUGUUUAGAGCUGGCUGUUUAAACUAAAGGUUUCUCCCUGUUUAGAGCUGGCUGUUUAAACUAAAUGUUUCUCCCUGUUUAGAGCUGGCUGUUUAAAGGUUUCUCCCUGUUUAGAGCUGGCUGUUUAAACUAAAGGUUUCUCCCUGUUUAGAGCUGGCUGUUUAAACUAAAGGUUUCUCCCUGUUUAGAGCUGGCUGUUUAAACUAAAGGUUUCUCCCUGUUUAGAGCUGGCUGUUUAAACUAAAGGUUUCUCCCUGUUCAGAGCUGGCUGUUUAAACUAAAUGUGUCUCCCUGUUUAGAGCUGGCUGUUUAAAGGUU